Long non-coding RNA from Macaca mulatta (Rhesus monkey), 444 nucleotides. RefSeq lists it as uncharacterized. The record is from RefSeq and is a predicted model, not a curated record. Lineage: Eukaryota; Metazoa; Chordata; Mammalia; Primates; Cercopithecidae.
AGGCAACCUGGCGGGGCUGGCUCGGCCCGGGCGCACGCAGGUGGGGCGCAGGCCCAGACCGCAGCCGAUUCUCCCGAGACACAGGGCCCAGAGGGGCCGUCGGCAAACGCACCAGACGGGCGGAAAAAAAAGAGCAGGAUGAAGGGAGGAAGACACAGCCAGCCAGAGAAGGGAGAAGAGGAGAAACAUCUGGAAAAUAUCAGUGUUGCAGAGCCUCCCGGAAACUGACCUUGCCACCGAAAGGGUGAAUGGGGUCAACAUGGAAACAGCAUGAGAGGGGCCACAGAAGGGAUUCACCAGGAAGAAGAGGAAAGGCAAACUGAAGUGGCCAGGAUGGCACGACAUCACGUCUGACCAAGGCAUCCUCAGCCUUCCUUCAGAAAAGCAGCAGAAGGAAAAAGGGAUCAAAAAUCACAGUGUGGAACUCAGGCUUGAAAGAAACCU